Molecule: ribosomal RNA, 259 nt
Filed under: uncultured bacterium
Lineage: Bacteria
Description: partial 16S ribosomal RNA
Rfam family: Bacterial small subunit ribosomal RNA
Source: RNAcentral
UUGGCGGACGGGUGAGUAACGCGUGGAUAACCUGCCGUAUACAGGGGGAUAACACUUAGAAAUAGGUGCUAAUACCGCAUAAGCGCACGGUUCCGCAUGGAACAGUGUGAAAAACUCCGGUGGUAUACGAUGGAUCCGCGUCUGAUUAGCCAGUUGGCGGGGUAACGGCCCACCAAAGCGACGAUCAGUAGCCGGCCUGAGAGGGUGAACGGCCACAUUGGGACUGAGACACGGCCCAAACUCCUACGGGAGGCAGCAG